UAGAGUUUGAUCCUGGCUCAGGAUGAACGCUGGCGGUCUGCUUAACACAUGCAAGUCGAACGCAACCUUCGGGUUGAGUGGCGGACGGGUGAGUAACGCGUGAGAAUCUGCCUUGGGGUCGGGGACAACCACUGGAAACGGUGGCUAAUACCGGAUAAGCCUUUGGGUAAAAAAUUUAUUGCCCCAAGAGGAGCUCGCGUCUGAUUAGCUAGUUGGUGAGGUAAAAGCUCACCAAGGCAGCGAUCAGUAGCUGGUCUGAGAGGACGAUCAGCCACACUGGGACUGAGACACGGCCCAGACUCCUACGGGAGGCAGCAGUGGGGAAUUUUCCGCAAUGGGCGAAAGCCUGACGGAGCAAGACCGCGUGAGGGAGGAAGGCUCUUGGGUUGUAAACCUCUUUUCUCAGGGAAGAAGCUCUGACGGUACCUGAGGAAUCAGCCUCGGCUAACUCCGUGCCAGCAGCCGCGGUAAUACGGAGGAGGCAAGCGUUAUCCGGAAUUAUUGGGCGUAAAGCGUCCGCAGGUGGCGAUUCAAGUCUGCUGUCAAAGCACGGGGCUUAACUCCGUUAAGGCAGUGGAAACUGAAUAGCUAGAGUGCCGUAGGGGUAGAGGGAAUUCCCGGUGUAGCGGUGAAAUGCGUAGAGAUCGGGAAGAACAUCGGUGGCGAAAGCGCUCUACUGGACGGCAACUGACACUCAGGGACGAAAGCUAGGGGAGCGAAUGGGAUUAGAUACCCCAGUAGUCCUAGCUGUAAACGAUGGAUACUAGGUGUAGCUUGUAUCGACCCGAGCUGUGCCGAAGCUAACGCGUUAAGUAU
This 816-nucleotide ribosomal RNA is filed under the name uncultured organism. Its description in RNAcentral is "bacterial SSU rRNA". It matches the Rfam family "Bacterial small subunit ribosomal RNA", at positions 1 to 867 of the family's 1533-position model. The record is from RNAcentral.